CGAAGUUAUGAUAGGCUACUGAUAGUGUCUGUUACCUUAACAGGCAAGGAGUGUGCUGGCCGCGGUUGGUUCAAGCCCCGUGCACAGUUUGGUUGCGCAGUAGAAGCAAAGAAGGGGCAGAUGCUCACGUCCGAGGUUACCGGGAAGGGUUAACUCUUUGUUGUGGGGCUGGCGCAGUAAACUCUUACUUUUCUGGUUCUCUUCCUAAAAGGGGAAACAUCUCUGCCAGCUUAAGGAGGGAACGACUUCAGGGGUUGUGUCUAAGAACGGUCCCAUUCCUCAACAGAAAGCGCUUUUCCUACUCCGAAAUAAGAAAAUGCUGGCCUGGUUACUCUCUCAGUUUCUAAGUCAAGUUUAAAUAUACCUUCUCCACAACUCCACCCGGAAUAUGCAAAGCUACGAUAAUAGAUUUUUUUAAGGAAGUCUAUGUUCUCAAACACAAGGUCUUGGAAUAAAGGCCUUCCUGUGGCUCCAGGAGUGGACUUUGUAAAUUGUGUACUUUGCCCCUGCCUUUUUGCUGUAACUCUUCGUGCCAUAUCUCUUCUAUUUAUUAGCCCUCUGCCCUUUACAAAGCAAGAUCCAGAUCUAAAACUACGAAGCUUAUUAGUUGGGAUGGGGCGGGGUUGGGGGGUGUCUAUUUUCUAACAUGUAUUUUUAGUUGAGCUCAGAUAAACUGCAAAUUUCUAUCAUCAAACCAAGCAGAAAUUAUUCCUCCAGUAACUAUACAUAACAAUAAAGUGGGGUGUUUUUCCCCCCCUAGUUAUCUUCUGGAACCUUCUUCCCUUUUUCUCUCAUCCUCACCUUCCAAUUUAGAAAUAACCUCCCAUUCGAUUCAGUGACUCACAGAAAAUCCAUAAAAGGAAAGUGGGAAAGCCAAAAUAACUCCUCCAGAGACGCCUGAAUCAUUUCACUGAAGGAAAAACCACGCACUGACCACGAUAAGAUGGAAGUGAAGACGGAAGGCCCAAGCUAACAUCCCACGUGAGGCGAAUGUGCAGACAGGAAGGUACCUGCUGAGGAUGCAGCAUCCCAGCAUCCCUUUACACAGCUUUUGAAUGCUUCGCCAGCAGCCCCCUCCUCACUAGCCUUGGCGGUGUGCCGUGGUACCAGUUUUACGGCAAGUCGGAAGGCAAUGAGUGUCCUAGCAGAUAGGAAACAAUGACGUCAUUGGAGGGCACGGCCAUUAUUAUGGUACUUUGGGUAAUAACGGCUUUGCACAGCCAGUGACCAGGUGCCAUAAGGAACAUAGAAUUAGGCCAGUCUCACGACGGGGACUCGACAUCUAAGUUUAGGGGCUCAGACUGCUAUCACAAAGAAACACAGCAUUUCCGUUCUUCAGAAGAUGAGGCCAACCUGAAGCCAACAACAGCCACACUUGAGCCAGCCUCUUCUCAACGCACAUACAGGUGAUGGACACAAUUGUUGAGGAGAUGAGAACUACGUGCAUGGUGCUUACCCACUCUCACCUUCCUCGGGAUUGAAAUAGCAUCUACUUGGCUUGCUUGGGAUACAGCUAGAACUCACAUUUUGAGAGUCACUGGAGCUGUGGCUGGCAUACUGUAGGUAACUGGCAAGUGACUGGCGUGAUGCGAUUUAGUUGAACAGACAAUCAGAAGCUACCAGGAACCGACUUAUAUGGACAAACUGACAUCUAGUGGUGUGUUUUUUAUAACAUGGGCCAAAAGUAUAGUUAAUUGCUGACUUGAAACUUAGUUUGGGGGAAUAAGUAGACAGCAACAGAACGCCUGCUUUUCCAUAAGGAACAAGAUUUAACUCUAUUCAGGGAUCUUCAAACAUGGCUGUGUAUGUGAAUGAUUUGUGAAGAGGACAUUGUGGGACACAACUUCAAUCUCAGCACUCCAGGGGCAGCACAGGUAGACCUCUGUCAGUCCCAGGCCAGCCCGUUCUACAGAGCAAGCUUCAGGCUAGCUGAGGCUACAUAGUGAGCAUAGUGAGACCCUUCUAAUUAGAGAGAAAUAUGCUACUGGUAGAUUCCGAUUUAACUUGCCAGAGGUAUAGCUCAGCCUCUCUCUGUCUCUGCUUCUCUCUCUCUCUCUCUCUCUCUCUCUCUCUCUCUCUCUCUCUCUCUCUCUCGGUUUUAAUUUUCUUCUACCAGUGACAUUUUUAAAAGUAAUUUUAAUAUGUAACCAGAAGCUGGCCAUGGCGGUGAUACCUGUGUUUCCAAUGCUUGGGGAAAAAACAUCAAGUUCAAGGUCAGUCUAAACUACAGGAGACCCUAUCUCUACACACACACACACACACACACACACACACACACACACGCAUGCACACAUGCAUAUGCGCACACAUGCAUACAUCACAAACACAUCAAACACACACACAAACCAUACACACACAUUCACAGACACAUCAAACACAUACUCAAACAUACAUGGAGUCAGGUUGAGAAGCACUGCAGUGGCCCAUGAGGUAACUACUUAUUAUUAAUUAUAUAAUCAAAGAAAGUAAAACCCAGAGGGUAAGCUAAUUGCUGCAAAGUCACAGAGUUGGUGCUGAGACUUUGAGCUUUAGUCUCGUAUAUCCCCUGAUCUGAUGCUGACUUUGCAGAGGUUUUUAGAAGUCUGGUAUUCUCCGAACAGCUUCCGCAUAUAGGAGUCUAAGGGACAGUGAGGAUUUGCCCAUACUACGAACUGAAGUUCUGCAAACAGGUUGGGGUUGGUGGGGUUGUACAGUCUCAGGAAGGCACCAACUAUCUGAUCCUCUCUCUAAACUCAUGCGUUUAAGCUUCAUGAGUUUUAAACUCUACUGCUCAACUGGUGGAUAAAUUAGCAGUGUGAGGUUAAUUGUGAAUCAAAUUAAUACAAGAUAAACAUUAAACUUUUGUAGAUGUGUUUGAGAGAGGAGAGAGGGGGAGAGGGAAGGGAGAGGGAGGGGAAGAGGGAGAGAGAGAGGGAGAGAGAGAGAGAGAGAUCAGGAAUAUAUUAGAAACAACACAGAUUAAAAAUCUGUUAACCAUCCACUACUGAGGCCCAUGAAAGAGUAGACUAUGCUACCACUGAGCUUUCUGAUCCCACUUAUCUGCCUUAUCUGCUAGGCAUUGGUUGUUGGGGGAGGGGGACAAAAGGGUCCAAGUCCUGAGGUAUGAGAACUUUGACUGCCUUGGCCUCCCACAGAGAUCCUCAGAGGAUGGAUGAUUUUGAAAGGACACAGGAGCAUGGAUCUGUUCCUAGCCCAUUCAGUACAAAUGAAAGCUCAUUGCAGACACGGGAAAUGAACAAGGCCUUCCUGGGUCAGGAAGGGAGGCUGCAUCUCUUAAUCACACGUAGGGACCAGGCCAAAGCCUGCCAACGUCACACUCAAGUAAUUGCUAGGACAAUUUCCCUGAAUUUUAUGGUGAAUGUCCCUUGGCAGCAUGUAAGAACAGGUUGAGGAAACCAAGGUUCAGCCAAGUGAAUAGUAGUCUAGAAACUCAUCCUGUGAAAAGGCUAUGGUAGGGGCCAUAAACUCAGCCAGAGCACUGAACUUGGCCCACAGAUAUUUUUGGCUUAGUGCUAUCUGGCAGUGUUUUCAAUAUUUUUCAAUUAAUUGUCAACAUUCAGCUCUAGGAAAAUUUUAUGCAAAAACUCUGAUUUUUUAUCAUGAAAUAUAGUGGGGUGUGUGUGUGUGUGUGUGUGUGUGUGUGUGUGUGUGUGUGUGUGUAUCUAAGCAUUGAAUCUAGUGCUUCAUACAUGCUAGGCAAGACCUCUGCUACUGACCUAUGCCCACCACCCCUUAAUAUAGACUUUUUGUUUAUGGCUUAGAACUCACUAUGUUCUAUUGGAUGAGGUUGGGCUCAGGUAGCUGAGGAGGACCUUAAACUUCUGAUCUCGUUUACUCAGUGCUGGAGAUCAAACCCAGGGCUUCACGUGCACUAGUCAACCCCUCUGCUGACCGAGCUUCAUCCUCAGCCUCUCUUCUGCUUUCUCACAUAUCCCAUGGUGUCUUAGUUAAGGUUUUAUUGCUAGGAAGACACACCAUGACCACGAUUCUUUUUUUUUUUUUUUAAAGAUUUUAUUCAUUUAUUAUAUGUAAGUACACUGUAGCUGUCUUCAGACACACCAGAGGAGGGCAUCAGAUCUCAUUACAGAUGGUUGUGAGCCACCAUGUGGUUGCUGGGACUUGAACUCAGGACCUCUGGAAGAGCAGUCGGUGCUCUUAACCACUGAGCCAUUUCUCCAGCCCAUGACCACGAUUCUUACAAAGGACAUUUAACUGGGGCUGGCUUACAGUUUCAGAGGUUCAGUCCGUUACCAUCUUGGCGGGGAGCAGCAUGCAGUCAGACAUGGUGCUGGAGAAAAAAGCUGAGAGCUCUACAUCUUGAUCUGAAGCAGCAGAAGGGGACUGUGCCACACUGGGCGGAGCUUGAGCGUGGGAGACCUCAAAGCCUCUCCCUACAGUGUCACACUUCCUGCCACAAGGCCACGCCUGCUCCAACAACAUGGUGACUACUCGUGCAUGUAUGUAGUAAAUGUUUACUGAUCGUGUAGCUCAGUAAGAAGCAAUGGAGGAGCCUGGUGGCGGAAGUGCAGGCCUUUAAUUCUAGCGCUUGGAAGGCAGAGGCAGAUAAGUGUCUCUGUGUUCAGUGUCAGGCUGCUUCACAGAGCAAGUUCCAGGACAGCCAGUGCUACACAGAGAAGUCCUGUCUCGAACCCACCUCUGGCCCUCCCUACAACAAUAAAGGUGGGGGCUGUGAGAUGGCUCAGUUGGUAAAGGUGCUUGCUGCCAAGCCUGAUCACCUAAAUUUGAUCCCUGGAACUCAUGGUUGGGAGGAGAGAACUGACUCCCAAAAGGUGUCCUCUGACCAUCGCAGUUGUGUCAUUACACUUGUGUGUGCACUCACACACGCAUGCAUGCAUGCACGCACGCAUGCACAAAAAUUAAAUAAUAAUAAGAAAUAGUGGGUGAGGGUUGGGGAUUUAGCUCAGUGGUAGAGCGCUUGCCUAGCAAGCGGAAGGCCCUGGGUUCGGUCCCCAGCUCCGAAAAAAAAGAAAAAAGAAAAAAAAAAAAAAAGAAAUAGUGGGUAAGACUGGGAGGAUGAAAUGGUACAACAGUAGACUGUGGGAAGGAGAAAGCGCAUGGUAGCACGUGUGCUUCCUUGGCCCCUAGCCCUUUUCCAUUGAUCUGCUCUCUUGAAGUGAUUCUCUGAGAAACGCUAACUUAGAUGGAGUGUAUAAAUUAAGAGAAAUGCAAAUCUCGGUUGAAAAUGGACAUUUUUUUCCGAGACCCGGAUUAAGAAAAAGAACAGCUGUUUUUUGUUUUUGUUUGUUUCUUCCUUUGCUGUUUGUGGCUGUUGCUGUUUGCUUGCUGGGCCAAACUGGAGCUUCUUUUUAUGUCAGGACAGCAAUAAGCCACUCACCUAGUCAAACAGCGAAUUAAUGAAAUGGAAGAAAGGAGAGACCCACCGAAUUGAAAGGAAACAGCGGAAGAGUUCUAUAAGAAAAGAAAAUCAGCCAGCAAGACCGCUGUGAAUGGCUGUGGCAUUCCGUUCUAUUUUCUUUACAACGUUUUGUUAUGAAGAGAUAAGCAAAACCACAGGGUUAGUUAGGCAAAGGGACAGUAGCUCCUCUUUUGUAAGAUACAAGCAAACAACUCUGGAAGCCAGAGGGGAGAAAGAAGCUGCCUUUGUCUUCGCCAGGCACAUUCCUCCCCUAUCCUUUUCUGACAUCUUUCAACCCUUACCUGGAACAUUCUCUCCCCUCCUUUUACUUUCGCUCUUGGGUCUGAUCAAAGCCUCCAGACUCUCAAGAUCUCUGAUCCCCCCCUCCCCUCCUCCCCAGAUCUCCUUAGCGCAUCUGCUGCGUGCUACACAAGUCCCACUAGAUUGAGCAUAUUGUCCUGAAAGACUCUUGUAUGUGUGCUUUAUAAAACCCCUUGUAAACUCCUCGAGAACAAGAGCCAUUUCUCCUGCUCCCUGCCUCAUCUCCCAUAGUGCUGAUGGCCUAAGAGACCCUCUGUAUGGCCUUGCUGCCUCACUGACUGGAGAGUUCAGUUCCGAUCUCAAGCUCUUGCCAGCAACGCAAAGGCUACACAAUAAAGUCCUUUCACUAUUAAAUGACAGAUUCAAAGAUAGAGGGGCUGAGAAAGUACACACACAGAAUCCUUCAUUGUCUCAAGUCUUUCCUGGGAGUCAGCGUCUGGAAUUCUCAGGUUAGAUAUGGAAAUAACUUUGAUAUACUGUAUGUGAUGGCUAAUCUGGGGGGUUAGCAUUCCAUUUAGAUGGACUGCAGAAAAUAGUAGAUAAAAACACGGAACUGGGGCGUUAGUCAGCUUUUCAUUAGCAUGCUCAGUGUCUGGAGUUUAACCUCAGCACUAGAAAAAUAACAAUACGUGUUUGAGUUACAUCAAAGGAUCAAAGAAAGGAAGUAUUUUCCUGUAUGCAACUAAGUGGUGUUUCCCAAAUCUCUCCCACUGUCAUGGUUCAUAGUCAAGAGUUCACAGGGGAAAAUAUUGUUUUUGUAUUUUAAUGGUAACAGUGCUAUCAGAAGAGAAAAUGUGUUGGGGAAGCAGGUUGUGUCACACCACCCACCCUCCCUUCCUCCCUCCCUCCCUCCCUCCCUUCCUUCCUUCCUUCCUUCCUUCCUUCCUUCCUUCCUUCCCCACUCCCUUCACCCCUCUCCUUCUCACCUUUCUUUCUGAGCCAGGGCCCUAGCAGGCCUUGAACUUACAGAGAUCCGCCACCAUGCCUAGCCAUAUUGUACCAUUUCCAUUGCUAAAUGUUUCAGUGCUUUUUAGGGUAUGUAUAGCAAUCAGUAUUUAGGAAAAAGAGUUAUAUUCACACCUCUUUUGAAUUCUGAGUCUCUCCUUUUCCAGGGCUACUUUGGGUAUCAAGUGCACUUAGAGAACACUAUUUUCUGAUUGAUACAGAUUUCAGCUGACCCUCCAGGCUUAACUCCUUUUUUUUUUUUUUUUUUUAAUUUAUUGUGUUCUGCCUGCAUGUUGCCUGCACUGUAGAAGAGGCCACCAGAUCUCAUUAUAGAUGAAUAUGAGCUAUCACGUGGUUGCUGGGAACUGAACUCAGUAGGUCUGGGAGAGCAGCCAGUGCUCCUAACCUCUGAGCCAUUUCUCCAACCCCCAUCCCUAAAUCGUUGAAGCACUAUGUGUACUGAAAACGUGAUAAUUGCUAAACGGCCUUGGUAAGUUCCAGAGUCGUGUCCUAGGGAUCCAAACGUGUUCACAGCCAGCAGUGUGAAUGGGUUGUGUUGGCUCGUUAUUUUUAUUUUUAUUUUUUGUAAUGUUCCUGUGAUAUUAUCCUUGUAUUGCCCCAUGGGCUGCAUAAAACGAAAUUGGACAUGAAGACAUAUACAUUCACACAUACAUACGUACUACAUACUACACACACACACACACACACACACACACACACACACACACACACACACACUGAGUUUAAGGCCAGCUAGGACUGCGUUUUGAGGCCCUGGCUCGGAAGGAAAGGUGGGGAGGAGAGGAAUGAAGGGAGUGCGGAAGGAAGGCAGGAAGAGAUGUUUCUUUCCUAAAUAAACAAGAUUCUACUUUGUGUCUCAGAGAUCAAUUUGUACAUCUUGUGAAAAAUUCUGAGUCUUGUACUUCUGGUAAAAUUUAUAGGUCUGACAUGUAUUUAGGACAUAACCUUUUAGGGAUCUGGAGAAAUACACGCAGUCACUUAGUGUUCUUUAGUCCUGUGUAAACUGCACAAGAAAUCAAGUAGAAAGCCAGGCCUAAUGGCACAGAUCCAUAAUCCCAGCUAUUAGGGAAGCCAAAAGAAAAAUGUGCCUGGAUUACAGAGCAAGGUUACAGCCCAGAAACCGAGAAAACGUGGUCUCAAAACUUCAAAAAAGUUAAAAAGGAUCAGGUAUGGGGGUGCACAACUUUCCUAGUGUUUGGGAGUUAGAGACAGGCAGAUCUCUAUGAGAUUGAGGCCAGCCAAGUCUACAGAGAGAAUUCAAGACCAGCCAUGGCUUCAUAGUAAGACCCCAUCUUAGAUAGACAGACAGACAGGUAGACAGACAGUCUAGGCUCGAGGUUAGUAUUAGAGAACUGUCCUCUAAUGUGUGAGGCCCUUUAUUGAAUAUCUAGUAACUUCCCCUCCCUCCACAAGAAAGGGGAACUAGAGUAAUCAGGCAUGGUGGCACACGUCUGUAGUGCCAUACUCUAGAGGCUGAGGCAGGAGGAUUGCAAUUUUGUAUUCAGCCGGGACUAUAUAGUAAAUUCUAGACCAGCUUAGGCUACAUGAGACCUGGUUUUAAAAUAAUAAGGUGGGCAUGGUGGCACACCCUUCUAUCCCAGCGGAGGCAGGUGGGUCUCUGAGUUUGAGGCCAGCCUGGUCUACAUAGAGAAGCCCCAUUAAAAAAAAUAAAUAAAGGGGUUGGGGAUUUAGCUCAGUGGUAGAGCGCUUGCCUAGGAAGCGCAAGGCCCAGGGUUCGGUCCCCAGCUCCGAAAAAAAAGAAAAGAAAAAAAAAUAGCAAAGUUGAUUGAUUGAUUGACUGAUAAGUAAGUAAAGUUGAUUGAUAAGUAAGUACUUUAUCUUUGUAAACAUACUGAGAACAUCGUUGAGUAUCAGUGGAAAUGACAGAACAUGCCUUGUCCACUUCUGCCAGUGUCAAAGAUCAGAAGAGUCAUUCAGCCUAGACAGGAGCUGGCUUCCCC
Non-coding RNA from Rattus norvegicus (Norway rat), 8625 nucleotides. The record is from RefSeq and is a predicted model, not a curated record. NCBI's taxonomy places the organism in Eukaryota, Metazoa, Chordata, Mammalia, Rodentia, Muridae.